GGAGUAGUAUGGCUGACAGGGCAUCCUUCUUUAAGACUUCCUGUUAUCUUGUCAUGCGACUGCCAUCCAACCUUCCUUGAAACUCUCUGAUUGUUUGGUUGAGUUUGGAGGGACAGCGGUGGGAGACCGGACCACUGCAGUAUUGUAUGUGGAGAAUAUCAGCGCAGGGCCUGAGGCUGCAGCCCGGCUCUUCACCUUCUCUGUUCCGGAAAACUCUGACAUCACCAUCACACCUACUUCAGGAAGAGUUCUACCUGGACAGAAGUGUCUGGUCCAGGUUACAUUCAGCCCAACACUGUCUGAUGACGUCAUCAACACAGAAGCUCUACACUGGAGAGAGGAAUUUCAUACUGACACCAGCAACUGCCAACAUACAGAACCUGAUGCCAAAAGCAAAAUAGAGGCCCCAUUGCUUUUGGUAA
Molecule: long non-coding RNA, 422 nt
Filed under: Sinocyclocheilus anshuiensis
Lineage: Eukaryota; Metazoa; Chordata; Actinopteri; Cypriniformes; Cyprinidae
Description: lncRNA (ENSSANG00000028819.1)
Source: RNAcentral